AUUGAACGCUGGCGGAAUGCUUUACACAUGCAAGUCGAACGGCAGCACGGGGGCAGCCCUGGUGGCGAGUGGCGAACGGGUGAGUAAUACAUCGGAACGUGCCCGGUCGUGGGGGAUAACGUAGCGAAAGUUACGCUAAUACCGCAUACGAUCUGAGGAUGAAAGCGGGGGACCUUCGGGCCUCGCGCGAUCGGAGCGGCCGAUGUCAGAUUAGGUAGUUGGUGGGGUAAAGGCCUACCAAGCCGACGAUCUGUAGCUGGUCUGAGAGGACGACCAGCCACACUGUGACUGAGACACGGCCCAGACUCCUACGGGAGGCAGCAGUGGGGAAUUUUGGACAAUGGGCGCAAGCCUGAUCCAGCCAUUCCGCGUGCAGGACGAAGGCCUUCGGGUUGUAAACUGCUUUUGUACGGAACGAAAAGGCUCUGGCUAAUACCUGGGGCUCAUGACGGUACCGUAAGAAUAAGCACCGGCUAACUACGUG
Molecule: ribosomal RNA, 484 nt
Filed under: uncultured bacterium
Lineage: Bacteria
Description: partial 16S ribosomal RNA
Rfam family: Bacterial small subunit ribosomal RNA
Source: RNAcentral